CAGUAGCCGCGGUAACACGUAGGGGGCGAGCGUUGUCCGAAUUUACUGGGCGUAAAGAGCAUUAAGGCGGUUUCUUAAGUGAGUGGUGAAAGGUUCAGGGCUCAACCCGAACACUGCCAUUCAUACUGGGAGACUUGAGUACGGGAGAGGCGAAUGGAAUUUCUGGUGUAGCGGUGAAAUGCGUAGAUAUCAGAAGGAACACCCAUGGCGAAGGCAGUUCGCUGGCCUGUAACUGACGCUGUAGUGCGAAAGCGUGGGGAGCAAUCAGGAUUAGAUACCCCCGUAGUCCCUGUCUCUUAUA
This 301-nucleotide ribosomal RNA is filed under the name uncultured bacterium. RNAcentral's name for it is "partial 16S ribosomal RNA". It matches the Rfam family "Bacterial small subunit ribosomal RNA", at positions 509 to 808 of the family's 1533-position model. The record is from RNAcentral.